Callorhinus ursinus (northern fur seal) is the source of this 1599-nucleotide non-coding RNA. The record is from RefSeq and is a predicted model, not a curated record. NCBI's taxonomy places the organism in Eukaryota, Metazoa, Chordata, Mammalia, Carnivora, Otariidae.
UGAGCCGAAGGCAGACGCCCAACCAUCUGAGCCACCCAGGGAGGAAGAGCCAAAUCAGAUCUCAGCAGCCACAAGGUCAGUCUAUGGCAGCCACGUCUGGGGAGAAGCACCCACUACCCAUACAGAAGGAAGAGUGUUAAGGAAUCAAGUGUCGCUGGCAUCACCCCACAUCGUGCACAUCACCUGCCAAAAGGCAGCAAAAGUAGGGCAGGUGCACAGCCUCAGCAGUGAGCCGCGGGCUUUCCGAGCCAGAUCCAGAGCCAGAGGUGGCUGAGAGCCCACGAGUGGCAGUGGGGGCUGCUGCUCCAAGAACACAACCACAACCCCCGGCCUCCAGCCAGUUCUCCUUGAGAAUGCCCGGACCUCCAAGCCUUCAGGAGAGCUAGGAGCACAGCUAGAAUGGGAGAUGGGGAUGGGAGGUCCCUGUAACCCAGUGCUUCUGGGUGGCUGACCGGAGGAAUGUCUUGCCCACCCACAGACACCCGGAGGGCCUACCUUGCCAGCUGGCCACACCGGUUCCAUAGGCACCUUAGAGGGAACAAAAACACACAAAAGCUUUGUAUACAGAAUGAAGGUACCUGAGAUAGCCCCUGCCAAUCGUCACCUCCACCACCCGCAAGUCCAGGGCCACGGGCGGCUGUGGCAGUGCUGUGGGAGGCACCCCUGGUUGUCCAUUAAGGCCAGGAAUGGCUCGGGCCCACUAGCUGUAAAACUCAUUUCCUAUGGAGCACUCAGCUAAGCAUAACCAACACUUCUCUAAUAGACAAGCCUCAUCUCCCCCAGCAGGAAAACAGAAAGGACGCUGCAGCAUUCCCAGGAAGUGUUCAGCGUGGGCCACGAGCCAAGAGGCCAGAUCCCCUGGCAGAGCCCUUCGAAAGUGCCAGUUCUCACCAGUAGCCAGAGCUCAGGCACCACUAGCACAGACAAUGCAUCAGUGGAAAAUCAUGUCCCUAACUCAAAUGAACAAGGGGACAUUAUGUACCCUGGUGACAUGGAAGGCCUCCUCCUGGAAAACUUGGUGAUGGGUGAAAAAGUGACUCCACCACCCCCAAUGGUGCUAAGGGCAAGUUCCAGGCUCAGAAAACAGAGCUUUCAUCCCAUCCCCUGGAACAAAUGCUGGCAAAAAGCAGAAAACCUCACCACCAGGGAGGACAUUCUGGUCCUUCAAACAUACAGAGCAUCGUGAUCUAGAUUCCAGAGCAGGGGCAGCAAUCAGGCCCCCAUGCCAAAUCUAGCCCAUUGCCUGUUUUUGUACGGCCAACAAGCUAAGAAUGGGUUUUACUUUUUUAAAUGGUUGGGAGAUUAAAAAAAAAAAAAUUUUAUGACAUGAAAUGAAUUCUUUGCGUCGUCCUUCAUAUACUUGUCAAAACUCACAGAACUGUGCAAGCAAUGACUGUUAACUGUGGAUCAUAACUAACAACAGAGUAUCAACAUUGACUUGUUACUGACAAUAAAUGUAUCUUACUAACGGAAAAUAUUAAUAAUAAGGGAAACUCCUGGGGUGAAAAGUAGAGGGGGCAUAUGGAAUCCUGUACUAUCUGCUCAAUCCCCCCAAAAGUCUAAAACUAUUAAAAAAUAAAGUCUAUCAAUCAUAAAAAU